RNAcentral lists this transfer RNA (78 nucleotides) under Opitutaceae bacterium. Its description in RNAcentral is "tRNA-Pro". It matches the Rfam family "tRNA". From Rfam's summary of the family: Transfer RNA (tRNA) molecules are approximately 80 nucleotides in length. Their secondary structure includes four short double-helical elements and three loops (D, anti-codon, and T loops). RNAcentral also lists the same sequence under 3 other names. The record is from RNAcentral. Lineage: Bacteria; Pseudomonadati; Verrucomicrobiota; Opitutia; Opitutales; Opitutaceae.
CGGGAUGUGGCGCAGCUUGGUUAGCGCGCCUGCUUUGGGAGCAGGAGGCCGCCGGUUCGAAUCCGGCCAUCCCGACCA